Molecule: transfer RNA, 72 nt
Filed under: Batrachyla leptopus (gray wood frog)
Lineage: Eukaryota; Metazoa; Chordata; Amphibia; Anura; Batrachylidae
Description: tRNA-Ile
Rfam family: tRNA
About the family: Transfer RNA (tRNA) molecules are approximately 80 nucleotides in length. Their secondary structure includes four short double-helical elements and three loops (D, anti-codon, and T loops). Further hydrogen bonds mediate the characteristic L-shaped molecular structure. tRNAs have two regions of fundamental functional importance: the anti-codon, which is responsible for specific mRNA codon recognition, and the 3' end, to which the tRNAs corresponding amino acid is attached (by aminoacyl-tRNA synthetases). tRNAs cope with the degeneracy of the genetic code in two manners: having more than one tRNA (with a specific anti-codon) for a particular amino acid; and 'wobble' base-pairing, i.e. permitting non-standard base-pairing at the 3rd anti-codon position.
Source: RNAcentral
AGAAAUGUGCCCGAAGGAUAAGGACCUCUUUGAUAGAGAGGUAAACAGGGGUUCAAGUCCCCUCAUUUCUAU